This 67-nucleotide transfer RNA is filed under the name Marmota monax (woodchuck). RNAcentral describes it as "tRNA.Ala". The record is from RNAcentral. Lineage: Eukaryota; Metazoa; Chordata; Mammalia; Rodentia; Sciuridae.
GGUCGUAGUUCAGUGGUAGAGUGCACGUCUAGCACGUGUGAGGCCCUGGGUUUGAUACUCAGCACCA